RNAcentral lists this ribosomal RNA (831 nucleotides) under uncultured Bacteroidota bacterium. RNAcentral describes it as "bacterial SSU rRNA". It matches the Rfam family "Bacterial small subunit ribosomal RNA", at positions 60 to 909 of the family's 1533-position model. The record is from RNAcentral. Lineage: Bacteria; Pseudomonadati; Bacteroidota.
AGUCGAACGCGGGGUAGCAAUACCUCGAGUGGCGCACGGGUGCUAACGCGUAACCAACCUACCUACAACUGGGGGAUAGCCGCCGAAGACGUUAAUACCGCAUAUACCAGCAGCCUGGCAUCAGGUAAUUGGGAAAGAUUUAUUGGUUGUAGAUGGGGUUGCGUGCCAUUAGCUAGUUGGCGGGGUAACGGCCCACCAAGGCGACGAUGGCUAGGGGACCUGAGAGGGUGAUCCCCCACACUGGCAUUGAGAUACGGGCCAGACUCCUACGGGAGGCAGCAGUAGGGAAUAUUGGGCAAUGGGCGAGACGUGACCCAGCCAUGCCGCGUGCCGGAUGAAGGCCUUCUGGGUUGUAAACGGCUUUUCUCAGGGAAGAAAAAGAGGAUGCGUCCUAAACUGACGGUACCUGAGGAAUAAGCACCGGCUAACUCCGUGCCAGCAGCCGCGGUAAUACGGAGGGUGCAAGCGUUGUCCGGAUUUAUUGGGUUUAAAGGGUGCGUAGGUGGCCCGUUAAGUCCGGGGUGAAAGCCACUGCUCAACAGUGGAACUGCCCUGGAUACUGACGGGCUUGAGUCCAGACGAGGUUGGCGGAAUGGAUGGUGUAGCGGUGAAAUGCAUAGAUACCAUCCAGAACCCCGAUUGCGUAGGCAGCUGACUAGGCUGGUACUGACACUGAGGCACGAAAGCGUGGGGAGCGAACAGGAUUAGAUACCCUGGUAGUCCACGCCGUAAACGAUGGAUACUCGUUGCAGGCGAUACACAGUCUGUGACUUAGCGAACGUUAAGUAUCCCACCUGGGGAGUACGCUCGCAAGCGUGAAACUCAAAGGAA